AUGCAGUGCGUGCAAUAGUUCCCAAUAAGAGCAACAAUGAAAUCAUCCUGGUUUUGCAGCACUUUGAUAAUUGCGUGGACAAAACAGUACAAGCAUUUAUGGAAGGUAGUGCCAAUGAAGUACUCAAAGAAUGGACAGUAACAGGCAAGAAAAAG
Myotis davidii is the source of this 155-nucleotide long non-coding RNA. RefSeq lists it as uncharacterized. The transcript is spliced from 2 exons. The record is from RefSeq and is a predicted model, not a curated record. NCBI's taxonomy places the organism in Eukaryota, Metazoa, Chordata, Mammalia, Chiroptera, Vespertilionidae.